This 442-nucleotide ribosomal RNA is filed under the name uncultured Eubacteriales bacterium. RNAcentral describes it as "bacterial SSU rRNA". It matches the Rfam family "Bacterial small subunit ribosomal RNA", at positions 338 to 795 of the family's 1533-position model. The record is from RNAcentral. Lineage: Bacteria; Bacillati; Bacillota; Clostridia; Eubacteriales.
CCUACGGGAGGCUGCAGUGGGGAAUAUUGCACAAUGGGCGCAAGCCUGAUGCAGCAACGCCGCGUGAAUGAUGAAGGCCUUCGGGUCGUAAAGUUCUGUCCAAAGGGAAGAAUACAGUGACGGUACCUUUGGAGGAAGCCCCGGCUAACUACGUGCCAGCAGCCGCGGUAAUACGUAGGGGGCAAGCGUUAUCCGGAAUCACUGGGCGUAAAGGGAGCGUAGGCGGUUUGACAAGCCAGAGGUGAAAGGCAAUAGCUUAACUAUUGUAAGCCUUUGGAACUGUCGAACUUGAGUGCAGGAGAGGAAAGUGGAAUUCCUAGUGUAGCGGUGAAAUGCGUAGAUAUUAGGAGGAACACCAGUGGCGAAGGCGACUUUCUGGACUGUAACUGACGCUGAGGCUCGAAAGCGUGGGGAGCGAACAGGCUUAGAUACCCCAGUAGUC